Molecule: non-coding RNA, 931 nt
Organism: Macaca mulatta (Rhesus monkey)
Lineage: Eukaryota; Metazoa; Chordata; Mammalia; Primates; Cercopithecidae
Source: RefSeq, a predicted model, not a curated record
AUGACAAAGAAAAGAGGGAACAAUGAUAGUGCUAAAAAGGGCCGCAGCCACAUGCAGCCUAUUCGCUGCAGGAACUGUGCCCGAUGCAUGUCCAAGGACAAGGCCAUUAAGAAAUUCGUCAUUCAAAACAUAGUGGAGGCCACAGCAGUCAGGGACAUUUCUGAAGCAAGUGUCUUCGAUGCCUGUGUCCUUCCCAAGCUGUAUGUGAAGCUACAUUACUGUGUGAGUUGUGCAAUUCACAGCAAAGUAGUCAGGAAUCAAUCUCUGAAGCCCGCAAGGACCAAACACCCCCACCCCGAUUUAGACCUGCGGGUGCUGCUCCACGACCCCCACCAAAGCCCAUGUAAGGAGCUGAGUCCUUAAAGACUGAAGACAGACUAUUCUCUGGAGAAAAAUAUAAUGGAAACUGUACUUACAAAAAAACAAAAAGAGGAAGGCAGUUUUUAGCGAAGUGCUGUAAAUCUUUUAGACCUUUGAGGGCAAUUUAUAGUUUUUGGAGCAACCCCACCUCUAUCUUAGCUUUCUGCUCACCAUCAUCUCAUUGUUCCAGUUUCAUGUAGGCUGAGAUUCAGAAGGUAAUGUUGGAGAUUAGAAUAAAUUACAUAUAUCUCUAAAAAGUGGAGGAUUGCGCACGGAGGAUUUUUAGGGCAGUGAAGCUAUUCUGGAUGAUGCUGUAACGGUGGAUAAGUGUCAUACCCAUAGAUUAUCCAAACCAACACAUUAUCCAGCACCAAGAGUGAACCCUAAUGGAAACAGUGGAUUCUGGGUGAUAAUGAUGUGUUAAUGUGGGGUUGUCAAUUGUAAUAAAUGUACCAUUCUGAUGGGGAAUGUUGACAACGUGGGAAACUGUGCAUGUGUGGGGGCAGGGGGAAUAUGGGAACUCUCUGUACUUUCUGCUCAACCUUGCUGUGAAUUUAAAAUUGAUUCAAAA